ACAUGUGGUGGGGGAAGAGCAUGGGCCUACAAUGGUGGUGCAUGGGGCAAGGAGAAAGUAUGUAGUAGUGGUAAUUUACCUCAUCCUUGGAAUAUGUGGAAGCUUGAUAGUGUUCAUGAGAUUUUAAAACGGGAUUACCAGCUUCGUCCUGUUGCUAUUGAGAUAUUUAGCAUGGAUGGGUGUAAUGAUCUUUUGGUGUUCCACAAAAAAGAGAGAGAAGAAGUGUUCAAAAAUCUGGUUGCCAUGAAUCUUCCAAGGAAUAGUAUGUUGGACACUACAAUUUCUGGUUCAACUAAACAAGAAAGUAACGAGGGAAGUCGUUUGUUUAAGUUGAUGGCUAAAUCCUUCUCAAAAAGGUGGCAAAAUGGAGAAAUUAGCAAUUUCCAAUACCUCAUGCAUCUUAACACAUUGGCUGGUCGUGGAUACAGUGAUCUCACCCAAUAUCCAGUGUUUCCAUGGGUUCUGGCAGAUUAUGAGAGUGAAACUCUGGAUUUGUCCAAUCCUAAAACAUUUCGUAAGCUUGAAAAACCAAUGGGAUGCCAGACACCAGAGGGGGAAGAGGAAUUUAAGAAAAGAUAUGAGAGCUGGGAUGAUCCAGAGGUUCCAAAAUUUCAUUACGGUUCUCAUUAUUCUAGUGCUGGAAUCGUCCUAUUCUAUCUUCUACGCCUGCCACCAUUUAGUGUGGAGAAUCAGAAGCUGCAGGGUGGGCAAUUUGAUCAUGCUGAUCGUCUUUUCAAUGGCAUUAGAGAAACUUGGUUAAGUGCAGCUGGGAAGGGUAACACAUCUGAUGUGAAGGAAUUGAUUCCAGAAUUCUUCUACAUGCCAGAAUUUCUUGUAAAUAGGUUUAAACUUGACUUGGGAGAGAAACAAUCAGGAGAGAAGGUUGGUGAUGUCUUCUUGCCUCCUUGGGCCAAAGGCAGUGCCAGAGAAUUUAUUAGGAAACAUAGGGCAGCCUUGGAAUCUGAUUAUGUUUCAGAAAAUCUGCAUCAUUGGAUAGACCUCAUAUUCGGAUAUAAACAGAGAGGGAAGGCAGCUGAAGAAGCCAUCAAUGUUUUCUAUCAUUACACAUAUGAGGGGAGUGUGGACAUAGACUCAGUUACUGAUCCUGCAAUGAAAGCCUCCAUUCUAGCACAAAUCAACCACUUUGGGCAGACACCCAAGCAACUGUUCCUCAAACCCCAUGUGAAAAGGCGGUCUGACAGAAGGCUUCCUCUUCAUCCUCUCAAGUAUUCUUCCCAUCUUGUCCCACAUGAAAUACGCAAGACCUCAUCAGCCAUAACUCAGAUUGUUACUUUCCAUGAGAAAAUUCUUGUGGCAGGGACAAACAGUUUACUUAAACCUAGAACGUAUACCAAAUAUGUGGCAUGGGGAUUUCCAGACCGGAGCUUGAGAUUUAUGAGCUAUGACCAGGACAAACUCCUUUCAACACAUGAAAAUCUUCAUGGGGGUAACCAGAUUCAGUGUACAGGUCUUAGCCAUGAUGGUCAAAUAUUGGUUACGGGCGCUGAUGAUGGGUUAAUUUCUGUUUGGAGAGUUGGCAAGGAUGGUCCCCGAGUUUUACAGCAUUUGCAAUUAGAGAAGGCGCUUUGUGGUCACACUGGAAAAAUCACAUGCCUUCAUGUUAGCCAGCCUUACAUGCUGAUAGUGAGUGGAUCUGAUGACUGCACUGUUAUCGUGUGGGAUCUCAGCUCCUUGGUUUUUGUUAGGCAGUUACCAGAGUUUCCAUUGCCAGUUUCAGCAAUAUACGUGAAUGACUUGACUGGGGAGAUUGUGACAGCUGCUGGAAUAAUGCUUGCUGUUUGGAGCAUCAAUGGGGAUUGCCUUGCAGUGAUUAACACAUCCCAAUUGCCAUCUGAUUCUAUUCUUUCAGUGACAAGCUGUACAUUUUCAGAUUGGAUGGACACAAACUGGUAUGUGACAGGUCACCAGAGUGGGGCUGUUAAGGUGUGGCAAAUGAUUCACUGCUCCACCCAAGAGAGUGCUCAAAGUAAAUCAAACAGCAAUCCAACGAUUGGGCUGAAUUUAGGUGAUAAUGUACCAGAGUACAGGUUGGUGCUUCACAAGGUGUUGAAGUUUCAUAAACAUCCUGUUACUGCCCUUUACCUCACGAGUGACCUGAAGCAGUUGUUGAGUGGGGAUUCUGGUGGGCAUUUGCUCUCUUGGACACUACCAGAUGAGAGCUUGAGGACUUCUUUUAAUCAUGGGUGAGAAAGGGAAAUAGCAGUUAAAGUGUGAUAAUUUAAGUUCUUUGAAAUCCUGUGGGAUUUGCCAGUUGAUUCUUGGAGAGGAAAGAUUGAAUAUGUUCAUGAUGCUUCAACAAGGCGACAGGGCUGGCCUGAGAUUGACGAAGUACAAGAAGUAAGGACGAGACAGACAAAAACUGCCUGAUAAAAAUUUUUAGGACAUUUUGAGAAGCAAUACCUCGACUCAUGUGCUUGGCCGCCCUAGCUUCUGUUGAGACGCCAAAAGCAGAAGGCAUACUUGUAUUUUUGGGUGCUUGGUGGAGGACAUUUUUUGGUUUUGCACGAGAGAACAUCCAUCAACUGGUUUUUUGAAUGUGCACAGAUGGAAUUACUAACAGUGUGUAUUGAAGUUGUAUAGAGGGAAACUGUGCCAGGAACAGAGCAUUGCUCCAAAUCAUCUGGCCAGUCGAACAAUGGACGGUUAUUUGGUCCAGUGUAUUCCCUUUGGGUAAAAUUCUUUUUGCAUAGUGCAGUUGGGCAGGCACUGCCCAUUCUUGUCAAAUGUACGCUUUCUUCUUUUGUUACUCAGAUAGCCCUUUAUUUCAAAGGAUAUUUUGAGUAACUAUUCAAACUUCUAUCUAUAUGCUCAGCUUUUAUGAUUAAAGGAUAUAGAUAGAAGUUUGAAUAGUUACUCA
RNAcentral lists this unclassified non-coding RNA (2878 nucleotides) under Hevea brasiliensis (rubber tree). The record is from RNAcentral. Lineage: Eukaryota; Viridiplantae; Streptophyta; Magnoliopsida; Malpighiales; Euphorbiaceae.